GUUGCAGAGACCAGAGAAAAAAAUUAAAAUAAAGAGAGAAGAGAGAGAGAAGAGAGAGAAGAGAGAGAAGAGAGAGAAGAGCUUCAGAAGUCAGAACUCAAACUGGGAAAAGGCCAAAAAAAAUUGAAAAAAAUUGAGAACAAGGAAAGGGUGAGGUGGGUAAGUGGAUAUAAUCUCCCACAAUAAUUGGUAUCAAAUGCUUAUUGGGGUUCGCACUAUUGCCGAAUUCCAAGGUCUCUGACGAUUAUUUAUAGCUCUCAAAGCUUUUUUACUUCUGCGUUUCCCGAUUGGAGCUUUGGCGUUUGUGGGUAAAGAGAGAGGGAGAGAGUGGGGACCAAACAAGGGUUUUCGGUGGAAAGAUGCACAGAAAGGUUAGGUUUCCCUUCCAACUCUCUCUUCCACUGUCUUUGAAGUCUAAAUUAUUGGAGGGCUUUGCUUACGUGUAAUUUGAGACGUGUUUUUUGAAGUCUGGUUCGGGGUUUCUUUUUGAGGCCUGAUGUAUGGUUUCAGAGUUGCUUUGCUGGUGGUGAAUCAAGGGCUUGGCGGUUUUUGUGUUUGGUUUUGGGUUGAAGAUGAUGAAGUUUGUGACUGUUUUUAGGAGAUUUCGUGGUUUGAAUUUGGACUUUUGGGUGUGAUUACUAAGGGUUUGAGGUUUUUCUGUUUGUGGGUCUUGAUGUUGAUGGGAAGUUGUGUGAUUUGAAGUUUAAAAAAGAAACAGAGGUGGUUUGGAGGAGUUGUUGGGGUGGAAGGAAAAUUAUGUUUUUUUGUUCUGUUCUGGUAUGAACUUGGGCAGGUGGUAUUCGGCUUUAGCCGGAAUCUGUCCUGGCAUUUAGUUCAUUUGGUAGCAAAUCUUGGCUGCAGGAGGAUUAUUUGGAGGUUUUUAGCAGUUAUUGAGACUGAAAUUUUAAAACUUAGAGUUUAUAACAUGAUCAUAUCAUUUUCAGAUGUUUGAAUCAUGAACUGCAAAUAUAUCCAGGGGGACUUCUUGUGGGUUACCACUAGGUAACUUUGAAUUCCGAAAGGAUAUAUGGGGUUUUUGGAUUGUUCCUGUCAGUGAAAUCCGUUCAGUGAAUGUUUAAGCAAGCCAAAUGGCUUUUUUGAUUGUUUUCAGGCUUUAGCACUGAAAUUAUUGGAAAUUGUUAUCUGGGCAGCUGUAACAUCAGAAGGCUACGAUAAAGUAGAGGGAUUGAGGUAUUUCAGGUGAAAAUGGCGGCUGAUUCGAACAUGGGCGUUCAUCACGGUGCGUUUCUGGCUUCCUUGUUGAAUAGGCAUACAAUUUCGUUUCAGUCAGGUGCCUCAGGCAGCAACUCAGGGAUGAUUCCUUUUGGAAACUCUAUUGGGAUGAACAGUACAUCUGGGAUGAUCCUGACUGGUAAUUCCAGUAUGAUAAACAGCAACCCUGGAAUAACUGCAGCUGGAAAUUCCCCUGGUUCUCUUGUUCUUGAUUCAGUGCCAGGUCUCAAGCUUGAUACAGGAUUGGCUGUUGAAUGGUCCCCGGAAGAACAGUCUAAAUUGGAGGAAGGCCUUGUAAAAUUUGCUGAUGAACCAAGUAUCAUGAGGUACGCCAAGAUUGCAGCCAUGCUUCCUGACAAGACUGUACGUGAUGUUGCUCUGAGGUGUCAGUGGAUGACGAAGGAGAAGAGCGGGAAAAGAAGGAAACCAGAAGAUCCUUACACAGGAAAGAAGAUGAAAGAUAGGAAGGAAAAAUCGGCAGAAUCUUCUUCGAAGGCAAGUUUACCUCCAGUUCCACUUCACAACAUGCCUGCAUAUCCUCUCAGAAUGCACCAUAAGGACCGUGAUCGGAUACCUUGUGAAGUCCCAACAGUAGGCAGCACAACCAAGAGACUUUUGGAUGAGAAUUUUCAAGUAUUCAGUCGAAUUUCAGCUAACCUCACAGCAUUGGAGGUACAAGAUAACAUUGAUCUCUUCUGUCGCACAAGGAACAAUAUUACAGCCAUAUUGAACGAUAUGAGAGUUAUGCCUGGGAUUAUGAGCCAGAUGCCACCAUUGCCCGUAUCGAUCAAUGAGGAACUCGCAAAUAGUAUUCUUCCAUGUACAUCUGAGACCUUUAUGUUUGGCUCAUCCAGAGGAAUCCAUCUGAAGCAAGAAUCAGGAUGAUGACAGAGAACAGUAGCGUGAAGGCGGGGUCUUCCUGGCCUGUGUAAGUACAAAAAUUUUCUUCUGUAAAUGUGUUAAGAAGAUGGUAGGAGCUCCCUCUUCAUUUGUGUACACAUACAUCACACACCCGACAGAUGGGUGCCAUGAAGAGGACAUUUGUAGAGAUACCAUUUUUGGAAUCUUUAUUUAAAAAAAAAAAAAAAAAAGGGAAAACGCGGCUGAUCCAAGCACCAGGUAAUAAGAAGCAUGUAUUGCCGUCUCUAUGUCUUCAAGUAGUGUCUCUAAUAGGAACCUUUUGUAAACAAAUACACUUAAUUUAAAGGGUUGUAUAUAAAUUUGAGACAGGCUACCUAAUAGAUCUCUCUUCGGUGCUUGAAAGUGAUUUUUCUUGUUCUAUUGCUCAAGUUUUUUGUCUUCUGAGGAAGUUAAUUGUUUCCUCCAUUUCAAAUGCACUUCCAUUUUCAUUUUAAGUAUGUCUAUGAAUAUGCUUGAUAAGGAUUUCGUAUUCUGUCAGUUUGAUUGUUACUUUGCUUUCCCAUCACAUGUUUUGGGCAUGCUUGGAAAUAUACUGUUGAGAAGAUCCAAGAAUAUGCAUGGCCUAGAAGUGCUUGCAUCUUUGUCUUGUAUCUCUUACAGUUUAGCUGAAACUCUUACUUGUUAAAUGCUUGUCAGUCCUCAGCAAUGUGCCCUCUGACCUUUUUGCCAACAUUUCUGGUGUGGGAAGUCAUUCCUUCAAAGGUGGCUACAUCUGCCAAUUGGAAGCUUGCUGGGCUCUCAUAUUCUGUGCCCGUCCUUGUCACCCUUUAUUCAUGUUAUGUCUUUCAAGUUCUAAUCAUAUCUCAAUUAACCGAAGCUCUCUGUCUCUAGCAUGAACCCCCAAUAUAACUUGACACAACAUUUUUUGUUUGGAGGAAAACUGAUUUAGAAACAAUUUUUUCCUGGGCCAAAAAAUGAAAAAGAACUCUGCUGUUUGGCUUUCCUUUUCUUCUAAUCUUAUCCAGGCCAACACUACUUUCUAUUCGUAUUUCCUCUCCAGCACAACAGAUUUAGGGAAGAUCCAGCUAGUUCCUCUCUAAAAACUUCUUUGUGCUUGUGGUUCGAUAAAUCUGAUGGUUUCUUGCUUGAACUGGAUUUCCAUGGUGGGAAGUGCGAUUGAGGAGCGUUUUCAUGGAAGAUUAUACUGACCUAAGAUCAAGAUGGUUUUAUCUGGAUCACAGUAAGGAGGAGCUGCCCUUUAUCCUUCAAUGGUGGCGACUUAUGCAUUUUACAAUCUAAUAAAGGCAAGUUACCCUAGCUAAAGGAGGGGAAUGGUACCAUGGUCCUGGAGGUUAUAGGAUUGCAAUUGCAAAUUCAUACCAAUUAAUGCAUUCUAGACCCAGAAUAUAUUCCAAGAAUUCGAGCGUCUUUGAGAUGACUUUUGAUGCUUAGAAGCUUUCAUGCUGCCCCUGUCGAAGCUAAAGGAGAACACCUUCAACCUAUGAAGCUUCUUACAGUAUAAAUUAAAUCAGGUGGUUGUUUGGUAUGAGGCUAUAAGAGUUAGAUUUGGGGCUCAAUAACUGUUGAACUCAUGAUUUCCAGAGAUAUUAUAAAUCUUGGUCAUGGAAAUGAGUGGAUCAAAAUUUGUCACUUAAUUUUGUGCAGUCUAGAUUAACUUCACUUCAGAGAACUGCUUUCUACCAAACUGCCAUGGUCAGUGUUCAAAUUUUGUCCAUUUUAGCAUCCAUGUAAUAUUUAUCCAAACACAUUUUCCCUUGUGGACGUAUGCAUGCAUAGCAUUUUUUUUCCC
Molecule: RNA transcript, 3904 nt
Organism: Macadamia integrifolia
Lineage: Eukaryota; Viridiplantae; Streptophyta; Magnoliopsida; Proteales; Proteaceae
Exons: 12
Source: RefSeq, a predicted model, not a curated record